Molecule: ribosomal RNA, 468 nt
Filed under: uncultured bacterium
Lineage: Bacteria
Description: partial 16S ribosomal RNA
Rfam family: Bacterial small subunit ribosomal RNA
Source: RNAcentral
GACGAACGCUGGCGGCGUGCCUAACACAUGCAAGUCGAACGAACAGACCCUGCUCUUGCGGCGUGCUCGAUAGCCGAGCAGGUGUGUAUAACGCGUGUAUAAUGCACCUAUCAUUCGGAUAUCACCACGAAACACCGGAUAAUACCCGAUAGAAGCUAUUGCUGCACGGUGGUGGAUGGAAAGAUUCGGCGGUUGGGGAUGGACUGGCGGGUUAUCAGCUUGUUGGUGGGGUAGUGGCUUAAAAAGGCUUCGACGGGUAGGCGGCCUGAGAGGGUUGACGGCCACAUGGGGACUGAGAUACGGCGCAGACUCCAACGGGAGGCAGCAGUGGGGAAUAUUGCAGAAUGGGCGGAAGCCUGAUGCAGCAACGUCGCGUGCGGGAUGACGGCCUUCGGGUUGUAAACCGCUGUCGCCGGUGACGAAGCGUGAGUGACGGUAAUAGGUAAAGAAGCACCGGCUAACUACGUG